CAAGAUCAACUCUAAAUGGACUCCCUUCUUUUUCUCUUCACGUUACUUAGCUUUAAAGCGGAUUUCAGUGAUGGCGUUCUGAUCACUCAGUGGCCGAAGUACAUAUACAGUCUUCCAGGCUCUUCAGUUGAAAUGCACUGUUAUCAGAAUGAUACAGACUAUGACUACAAAUACUGGUACAGACAAAUAACAGGAGAACAACCAGUGUUUAUAGGGAGCUACGUUAUUAACACUCCCUCUAAUGAAAAGGGUUUCGAGAAAGGUUUCACCAUGUCAGGUACCGAGAAAAAGAAAUGGACCCUGAAAGUGGAUGUUAAGAAGGGGACUGAUGCUGUGUAUCUGUGCGCAGCUAGUUUACACAGUGAAUAA
Non-coding RNA from Puntigrus tetrazona (Sumatra barb), 369 nucleotides. NCBI's taxonomy places the organism in Eukaryota, Metazoa, Chordata, Actinopteri, Cypriniformes, Cyprinidae. The record is from the annotation of a RefSeq genome assembly.